RNAcentral lists this ribosomal RNA (468 nucleotides) under uncultured bacterium. RNAcentral describes it as "partial 16S ribosomal RNA". It matches the Rfam family "Bacterial small subunit ribosomal RNA", at positions 28 to 507 of the family's 1533-position model. The record is from RNAcentral.
GACGAACGCUGGCGGCGUGCUUAACACAUGCAAGUCGAACGGAAAGGCCCUGCUUUUGUGGGGUGCUCGAGUGGCGAACGGGUGAGUAACACGUGAGUAACCUGCCCUUGCCUUUGGGAUAACUUCAUGAAACUGGGGCUAAUACCGGAUAGGAGCUCCUGCUGCAUGGUGGGGGUUGGAAAGUUUCGGCGGUUGGGGAUGGACUGGCGGCUUAUCAGCUUGUUGGUUGGGUAGUGGCUUACCAAGGCUUUGACGGGUAGCCGGCCUGGGAGGGUGACCGGCCACAUUGGGACUGGGAUGCGGCACAGACUCCUACGGGAGGCAGCGGUGGGGAAGAUUGCACUAUGGGCGGAAGCCUGAUGCAGCAACGCCGCGUGCGGGAUGACGGCCUUCGGGUUGUAAACCGCUUUCGCCUGUGACGAAGCGUGAGUGACGGUAAUGGGUAAAGAAGCACCGGCUAACUACGUG